AGCUUUAGUCUUUGCUGCUCGGCCAGUGGUCAUUCUGUGGACGCUCACCUCUACGCUCUGCUCCGUCUCCUCCGCCGCUCGGCGUGCAGCCAGAUCCUCCAGGUGUCGUCGGGAUUAUGUCAACUCUCUGACUCAUGAGGGCGAGUCGCCGUGUUUCCUGGCGGCGCGGCGAGGACAUGUGGCGGUGGUCCGACUCCUCCUGAAAGCGAACGCAGACGUCAACCAGCUGACCAAUGACCUCUCCUGUCCUCUAUAUGCAGCUGUGGACGGCGGGCACACAGAGGUGGUGAAGCUGCUGGUCAGGAAGGGAGCAGAGGUGGACGGGAUUCACACAGCUUCCUGCUGGACCUGCCUGCAUCAGGCGGCCUAUAAGGGACACAGCGACAUCCUGCGCUUUCUGGUUACCGUCUGCAACCUGGAGGCACAUGACGACCACCGGAUCACGCCGCUGUUUGUGUCCGCUCAGUACGGUCAGAGGGAGUGCCUGCAGCUGCUCGUUGAUGCUGGUGAGCCGCUUUACUCGCUGAUGU
Long non-coding RNA from Cyprinodon variegatus (sheepshead minnow), 530 nucleotides. RefSeq lists it as uncharacterized. Lineage: Eukaryota; Metazoa; Chordata; Actinopteri; Cyprinodontiformes; Cyprinodontidae. The transcript is spliced from 3 exons. The record is from RefSeq and is a predicted model, not a curated record.